CCUACGGGUGGCAGCAGUGGGGGAUAUUGCACAAUGGGGGAAACCCUGAUGCAGCGACGCCGCGUGUGGGAAGACGGUCCUCUGGAUUGUAAACCACUGUCCCCAGGGACGAAGAUGACGGUACCUGGGGAGGAAGCUCCGGCUAACUACGGGCCAGCAGCCGCGGUAAUACGUGGGGGGCGAGGUUUGUCCGGAAUUACUGGGUGUAAAGGGAGCGUAGGCGGGACUGCAAGUUGGGUGGCAAAUCUAGCGGCUCAACCGGUAGCCGCACUGAAAACUGCAGUUCGUGAGUGAAGUAGAGGCAGGCGGAAUUCCUAGUGUAGCGGUGAAAUGCGUAGAUAUUAGGAGGAACACCAGUGGCGAAGGCGGGCUGCUGGGCUUUUACUGACGCUGAGGCUCGAAAGUGUGGGGAGCAAACAGGAUUAGAUACCCGUGUAGUC
RNAcentral lists this ribosomal RNA (440 nucleotides) under uncultured bacterium. RNAcentral's name for it is "partial 16S ribosomal RNA". It matches the Rfam family "Bacterial small subunit ribosomal RNA", at positions 338 to 795 of the family's 1533-position model. The record is from RNAcentral.